UAAAUUGAAGCCAAAUGUUGAGGCGCUUAGCUGUUAACUAAGAAGUAGGGGGGGAUAGAUACCCUCCAGGUUAG
Molecule: non-coding RNA, 74 nt
Organism: Sarcophilus harrisii (Tasmanian devil)
Lineage: Eukaryota; Metazoa; Chordata; Mammalia; Dasyuromorphia; Dasyuridae
Source: Rfam